GGCGGCGUAGCUCAGCCGGUUAGAGCGUUCGGUUCAUACCCGAAAGGUCGGGGGUUCGAUUCCCUCCACCGCUACCA
RNAcentral lists this transfer RNA (77 nucleotides) under Brevibacillus parabrevis. RNAcentral's name for it is "tRNA-Met". It matches the Rfam family "tRNA". Rfam says of the family: Transfer RNA (tRNA) molecules are approximately 80 nucleotides in length. Their secondary structure includes four short double-helical elements and three loops (D, anti-codon, and T loops). Lineage: Bacteria; Bacillati; Bacillota; Bacilli; Caryophanales; Paenibacillaceae. The record is from RNAcentral.